This is a long non-coding RNA of Oncorhynchus keta (chum salmon), 767 nucleotides long. RefSeq lists it as uncharacterized. Lineage: Eukaryota; Metazoa; Chordata; Actinopteri; Salmoniformes; Salmonidae. The record is from RefSeq and is a predicted model, not a curated record. The transcript is spliced from 5 exons.
CAGUGUGGACAUAGCCUGUCUUCUCUUGAGUCCCAGGUCUGCCUUCGGCGGCCUUUCUCAAUAGCAAGGCUCUCUCUCUCUCCCUCCUUAAUUUUGGGUCAAGUUUUCUGCCACAGUGGUCAGGUAUUCGGCAGCCUUUCUCAAUAGCAAGGCUCUCUCUCUCUCCCUCCUUAAUUUUGGGUCAAGUUUUCUGCCACAGUGGUCAGGUAUUCGGCAGCCUUUCUCAAUAGCAAGGCUCUCUCUCUCCCUCUCCUUAAUUUUGGGUCAAGUUUUCUGCCACAGUGGUCAGGUAUUCGGCAGCCUUUCUCAAUAGCAAGGCUCUCUCUCUCCCUCUCCUUAAUUUUGGGUCAGGUAUUCUGCCACAGUGGUCAGGUAUUUGGCAGCCUUUCUCAAUAGCAAGGCUCUCUCUCUCCCUCUCCUUAAUGUUGGGUCAGGUAUUCUGCCACAGUGGGAAGGUAUUUGGCAGCCUUUCUCAAUAGCAAGGCUCUCUCUCUCCCUCUCCUUAAUGUUGGGUCAGGUAUUCUGCCACAGUGGGAAGGUAUUUGGCAGCCUUUCUCAAUAGCAAGGCUCUCUCUCUCCCUCUCCUUAAUGUUGGGUCAGGUAUUCUGCCACAGUGGGAAGGUAUUUGGCAGCCUUUCUCAAUAGCAAGGCUCUCUCUCCCUCUCCUUAAUGUUGUUUUUUUUGCCACUGUGAACUCUCUAUUUAGGGCCAAAUAGCAUUUCAGUUUUUUGGUCAAUUCUUUCCAAUGUGUUUUCUCAUGAUUUGGU